Molecule: ribosomal RNA, 801 nt
Filed under: Triticum aestivum (bread wheat)
Lineage: Eukaryota; Viridiplantae; Streptophyta; Magnoliopsida; Poales; Poaceae
Description: partial small subunit ribosomal RNA
Source: RNAcentral
AUGGCGGCGUCGGGAUCAGGAUCUCAGACGUCCAACCACGGGAAGGAGAAACCCGAUGCAGGGCUUGAGGCAGCCAUGAAGAACAUGCGCUUGCAGGAGGGGGGGCUUGAUGAGGUCUAUGUUGGUGAAGAGGAGAUUGGAAAGCUUGCAAAGGAGGCCCGUUUGCUUGCUGUUGCUAAGGGUCCAUGGAUUUUCCGUGGGCUCAUGGUGGUGAUAGAAGAGUUUGACGGAAAGAGGGCACCUGAAACUAUCAAGUUAGAGAGAUCAACAGUCUGGGCACAAAUCCACAAAAUUCCAGACCUCUACCGCAAGGAGCCUAUUGUUGAUCAGCUGGCAAGGAGAAUCGGAACAGUCCGCAGCGUUGAGUUCAAUCCCAGCCGCUACUUUGAAGGCAACUAUAUCCGAGUUCGUGCAAGUAUAGAGGUUGCCAAGCCUCUAAUCCGAUGGAUUCCGCUGAACCUGGCCGGAGAGAGGAUCUUCCUUGAGGUGAAGUAUGAAAAGAUUGGUUAUUUUUGUGAGGUUUGUGGCCUACUUGGCCAUGAUAUGGAGGAGUGUGGAGACGGAGUCCAUCCACCAGAAAGUAUUCAGUGGGGAAAGUGGAUGAUUACCAAACGGAGAUCAAUCAAGGGUAAUCAGGAGAACGAUCGCCGGUCUGCCUUUCCCCAUGGCAGGUUCCGUGGAAGGGGUCGUGGUGGACGUGGUGCACCAAGGAAGAGGACAUCUAAUGAGGCAGGCCUAGAUGAUGGUGCCGAAGAGGACGACACGGCUCAGAGCCCGUUGAAGCAUGAUGAUCAUACAUGA